Molecule: ribosomal RNA, 532 nt
Filed under: Colletotrichum fructicola
Lineage: Eukaryota; Fungi; Ascomycota; Sordariomycetes; Glomerellales; Glomerellaceae
Description: partial large subunit ribosomal RNA
Source: RNAcentral
GAUGAAGCGGCAACAGCUCAAAUUUGAAAUCUGGCCCUAGGCCCGAGUUGUAAUUUGCAGAGGAUGCUUUUGGUGCGGUGCCUUCCAAGUUCCCUAGAACGGGACGCCAGAGAGGGUGAGAGCCCCGUACAGUUGGACACCAAGCCUUUGUAAAGCUCCUUCGACGAGUCGAGUAGUUUGGGAAUGCUGCUCAAAAUGGGAGGUAUAUUUCUUCUAAAGCUAAAUACCGGCCAGAGACCGAUAGCGCACAAGUAGAGUGAUCGAAAGAUGAAAAGCACUUUGAAAAGAGGGUUAAACAGCACGUGAAAUUGUUAAAAGGGAAGCGCUUGUGACCAGACUUGCGUCCGGUGAAUSACCSAGCUCUCGCGGCUGGGGSACUUCGCCGGCUCAGGCCAGCAUCAGCUCGCUGUCGGGGACAAAAGCUUCAGGAACGUAGCUCUCUUCGGGGAGUGUUAUAGCCUGUUGCACAAUACCCUUCGGCGGGCUGAGGUACGCGCUCCGCAAGGAUGCUGGCAUAAUGGUCAUCAGCGAC